GACGAACCGAGCGAACGUUGUUCGGAAUCACUGGGCUUAAAGGGCGCGUAGGCGGGUGCUCAAGUCUGUGGUGAAAUCCUCCGGCUCAACCGGAGAACUGCCAUGGAUACUGGGUGUCUCGAGGGUGGUAGGGGUAUGCGGAACUAUCGGUGGAGCGGUGAAAUGCGUUGAUAUCGAUAGGAACUCCGGUGGCGAAGGCGGCAUACUGGACCACAUCUGACGCUGAGGCGCGAAAGCCAGGGGAGCGAAC
This 250-nucleotide ribosomal RNA is filed under the name uncultured bacterium. RNAcentral's name for it is "partial 16S ribosomal RNA". It matches the Rfam family "Bacterial small subunit ribosomal RNA", at positions 524 to 773 of the family's 1533-position model. The record is from RNAcentral.